RNAcentral lists this ribosomal RNA (440 nucleotides) under uncultured bacterium. RNAcentral's name for it is "partial 16S ribosomal RNA". It matches the Rfam family "Bacterial small subunit ribosomal RNA", at positions 338 to 795 of the family's 1533-position model. The record is from RNAcentral.
CCUACGGGAGGCAGCAGUAGGGAAUAUUGCUCAAUGGGGGAAACCCUGAAGCAGCAACGCCGCGUGGAGGAUGAAGGUUUUCGGAUUGUAAACUCCUUUUGUUAGAGAAGAUAAUGACGGUAUCUAACGAAUAAGCACCGGCUAACUCCGUGCCAGCAGCCGCGGUAAUACGUAGGGUGCAAGCGUUACUCGGAAUCACUGGGCGGAAAGAGCGCGUAGGCGGGUUAGCAAGUCAGAUGUGAAAUCCUAUGGCUUAACCAUAGAACUGCAUUUGACACUGUGAUUGUAGAGUAUGGGAGAGGUAGGUGGAAUUCUAGGUGUAGGGGGAAAAUGCGUAGAGAUCAAGAGGAAGACUCAUGGCGAAGGCGACCUGCUAGAACAUAACUGACGCUGAUGCGCGAAAGCGUGGGGAGCAAACAGGAUUAGAUACCCGGGUAGUC